This is an RNA transcript of Mus musculus (house mouse), 3423 nucleotides long. It is a transcript of the gene named predicted gene 2192, with no coding region annotated. The record is from RefSeq and is marked validated. NCBI's taxonomy places the organism in Eukaryota, Metazoa, Chordata, Mammalia, Rodentia, Muridae. The transcript has 4 exons.
GCCUUGUCUUUGCAGGAUCUACUGGGGCUGCUUCUACUUUUUUCCUUGGCUGCGAAUGUGGCGCAGGGAGCGGAGACCUUCUUGACAUAAAGGCAUGUCAGCUUCUGGCAGUACCCCAUUCUAUUUCAAAGAAGAUGAUGAGCAUCAAGAAUCUCCAACCGGAGUUUGCCUCAAUGUGGCAAGCUGCCACAGGGCAGAGAGUUGCCCAUAAUUCAACUACGGACAUAAUGCUGUUCAGAAAGGACAAACAGGCUCAGGGACAUCUGCCAAGCUCUGCCAAGAGAGGCCAGGGGACUUUCCCGAGAAGAAGCUGAGAAGCCAUGGGAGCUGCUCUCUAUCAUGAAAAGCCAAAGCUGGGUCCCCAAGCAGGGAAAUGUGCGGCAGCUCCUGUGUUUAGAUCCCAGCUGCCAAAUCUGUGAGGCUGCGACUGAAGAGAUUCAGCAGUUAGUGCAGAGUGAGAAAAGUCAGCUCUCCCCUGCUUUUUUGGGACUGAACCAGGGUUCUGCUCACUCUGCACACCUGGAGACGUUACCCAUGACUUUUGAACAGAAUAUGGAGCUCUGUUCCAGGCACACCAGACCUCAUCCACGGGUGCCUGGAAACCAAACACUAACACAACUAACGGGACACUUAACACAGUUGACCAACACAUUCGGGGUUCAAGAAUGCUGGACUGAUCGUCUCCAGCUAGACCAAAAUUUUCAUCUCGCCAACAUGCCCAUGGUCUCAGAGACUGUGAGUUCUUCAAGGCUCAAGGAACCUAUGGUUUUAAUGAUUGAGGAAACAAUAGUGCAAAGCAAAGCAAAGCUUGACCAGGAAAGCCAAGACCUUCAUCACAUGAAGCCCUCUGUGUCUUUACUACCCCUGGACCCAAGCUUGACACAUACUAUGUCCUUACAUAUGGACUCAAUGCUGUCUUCCCAUCUGCCAUUACUUAGUCCUAAAGUCCGUGGGCUUCUUGAACUACAGGUAAAAAAAUGCAUACAUUUCCAGAAGUGGGGUCUUCCGAGACGUGUGGAGGAGUCCCUGAGGCAGCUCAUGCCAGACCCAACAUUAUUUCGUCGAUCUCGAGAAAAUCCAUCUUCCUGCACUCUGAGCAGCAGUUCUAAGGUCAUUGAGGACAGAACUGGGAUCGUUUCCCACAAGACCAGCAGCUUGUAUUCGGCAGGCCAGCCCGUCCAGACCUUCUGGGUUUCCAAAUGGCCUGUUAUAAACCUGCAACAAGGAAGGCCCUGGCACCAAAUUCAUACUUGCUUGCCCUCUCAUGAAGGUGAACAUCUAAGGAAUUUCUAUCCACUCCCCAGGGCAAAAGCUAAUGACUCAGGGGACAAUCUUCAGAGUGAAUAUUAUAGCCAGUUAUUCUGUGGCCUUCCAUCUCUUCACAGUGAGUCCUUGGAUGUUACUUCCUUGAGUUCUCAAGGUACCUGCAAGAAAAGGGAUAUGUCCAAGCCCUCCACAGAUGCUCAGCCCUCAGGGGUACUCUCGGGCCUUUUCUUACCCAAAACACCAUGUAAGUCAGCCUUUCCCUCUUCCCCGACCUCUCUGAAUGGCAAGACUCCCUGUGAGCGUGAAGGAGCACAGAUUACUGUCCCGUUCCUGUCGCUGGCUGAGUGUGAAGCACUGGAACGCCACCUCCUAAAGAAACAACUCAGCAAGCUUCAGUGGGGCCUGCCAGCUCUCCUCCUCCAAAACCAGCGCUGAAUGCUGUGUGAAGCACCCAGUGAGGCUAAGACAGUAAAAACUUCCUUGGCAAGGAAGCCCUUUUUACAUCCCACCAGGGACAUCUUCCCAGAGCACGCAGGAAGGCUGCUGGAAUUCCACCUGCAGAAGCAGCUGAUUCACCUCCGCUGGGGGCUGCCCCAGAGGAUCCAGCGCUCCAUGAAUAUGCUGCUCUCCUCAACAGACCCACAGUCCCUGCCCUGUGGCAGCAGUAGCUUACCCAAUGUGAGCAUCUCACAGCCCGGGAAACCAGAGGCCAAUGGGCCUGGUGACAUGUUCUCACUCACAGCGGGCAAAGGGACAAUCCCCAUGCCACACUUGUUUGCCAAGACAAGGGAAAUGUUGAAAAGCCAUGUUGAUUCCAAAUGUGAACAGAUCCAGGAGGGCAAGGUCCCGGCCCAAGUCUGGAAAUCUUGGGAAUGCAAAAUUCCUGGAAGCUUAGCAACAGUGGCUCCCUUCCCUUGGAUUCCACAAGGCCAAUGCAGGAAGUUACAGGCAGAAAGUAAAAGUGACCCUGAAUUACUUCACAAAGUUGUUCCCUGGAAACCAAAGACCCUCAGCCAGGAGACACAAACCUUAUCUGGUACUCUCUUUGAACACUGUAAGAAGCCCCAAUCCCUACCUAAGGAAACCAUUAAGAAACUGGAGACAACUUUACAUCAUAAGUAUCUGGCCUUCCUGUCAGGCCUGCCUGCCCUUUACUGUGUAGCUCUCUCUAGGCCUGCAUCCCCAGCAGUCACUAGCCAACCUAGACUCAGAGAGAAGAUGCCCAAAGCUGUCAAAAGCCCAUCAAAUGCUCUGACUCAAAUAACCCCACUUGAGCCCUGCGCUCAGGAUGACAGUGGGGUGUCUGCGGACACUGCAGAAGAGUUCCAGCCUGGAGCAGAGGCAGACAGAAGGACAGAGAAGGUGCCUGCAGAGAGUCAGCCUCCCCCAUGCAGACCCUACCCAAUAAACACACAUAUCUUGGCCAAACUGAAUUUCCACCUGAAAAAAAAGAUCCUAGCAAUGCAGUUUGGGAUUUCUGAAAAGGAAAAGAGAGAAUACAAGGAGCUGGGUACAGCCGACCUAGAGAGCGAAUCCAUCCAGGAAUUUCUCAGAUGUCUACACAUGUCAGAGAGCACACUGCUUCAGGAACAGCCUGUCGCAUGCCCAUCUCUGCCAGCCCCAAAUGCAAAAGGGGUCCACCCUAAAAAACAGCCAGCUUCUGCAGUACAGGAUGUGUGUCAGGCGCAAAGGCCUCCUCCUUCCAAAGCAGUGCCCCAUAGUUCUGCCCAGCAGAGCUCCAAGGCCUCGCAAUCCCAAAGGGAUAAGACCCAAGUCUGUGUUGACAUGGAAGCUGGAGGGAAAAGGUUCAACCUAGAGAAAUCCAAAGUCGUGGGGGACCUUGGAGAAGGGGACGCAGGUCUUGGGUUUUCCCUGGUCGGUCAAAAGACACGCCAGGAUGGAGAGCAGGAGAAGAGGCUCCUGCACAGACCACUCCAGGGCUCCUCACAACAGGGUCACACCUUUCAUCUUGAGGAUGCCUGUCCACACAGUCCCCGGGUCUCACUAUGUAGCCCUAGCUGACUCAGAACUAACUCUGUAGGCAGGUCAACCUCUAACUCUAAGAGAUCUACCUGUCUCUACCUCCAGAGAACUGGAAUUAAUGGCAUACCACCAUGCUGACCCUUCUCCCUCCUUUAAAUCUGGUUUGUAACUUCU